GAUGAACGCUGGCGGCGUGCCUAAUACAUGCAAGUCGAGCGAACGGACGAGAAGCUUGCUUCACUGAUGUUAGCGGCGGACGGGUGAGUAACACGUGGAUAACCUACCUAUAAGACUGGGAUAACUUCGGGAAACCGGAGCUCAUACCGGAUAAUAUUUUGAACCGGAUGGUUGAAAAGUGAAAGCCGGUUUUGCUGUCACUUAUAGCUGGAUCCGCGCUGCAUUAGCUAGUUGGUAAGGUAACGGCUUACCAAGGCAACGAUGAAUAGCCGACCGGGGAGGUGGGUCGGCCACCCUGGAACUGAGACGCGGACCAGGCUCCUACGGGAGGCAGCAGUAUGCAAUCUGCCGCAAUGGGCGAAAACCUUGCGGAACAGCGCCACGUGUGUUAUGAAGGUCUUCGGUUCGUAAAACUCUGUUAUUGGUUGAAAACAUAUUUGUAAGUAGCUGUACACAUCUUGACGGUACCUAAUCAGAAAGCCACGGCUAACUACGUG
Molecule: ribosomal RNA, 497 nt
Filed under: uncultured bacterium
Lineage: Bacteria
Description: partial 16S ribosomal RNA
Rfam family: Bacterial small subunit ribosomal RNA
Source: RNAcentral